Molecule: ribosomal RNA, 392 nt
Filed under: uncultured bacterium
Lineage: Bacteria
Description: partial 16S ribosomal RNA
Rfam family: Bacterial small subunit ribosomal RNA
Source: RNAcentral
AUACGGAGGAUCCGAGCGUUAUCCGGAUUUAUUGGGUUUAAAGGGUGCGCAGGCGGCCAUUUAAGUCAGCGGUUAAAUCGUGGGGCUCAACCCCAUUCUGCCGUUGAUACUGGGUGGCUUGAUUGCGGUCGAGGUUGGCGGAAUUCGUUGUGUAGCGGUGAAAUGCAUAGAUAUGACGAAGAACACCGAUUGCGUAGGCAGCUGACCAGACCGCAACUGACGCUCAUGCACGGAAGUGCGGGGAUCGAACAGGAUUAGAUACCCUGGUAGUCCGCACAGUAAACGAUGAAUACUUGUUUUCGGCGAUAUAAUGUCGGAGGCAAAGCGAAAGCGAUAAGUAUUCCACCUGGGGAGUACGCCGGCAACGGUGAAACUCAAAGGAAUUGACGGGG